GCUCAGAAUGAACGCUGGCGGCAUGCCUAACACAUGCAAGUCGAACGAGACCUUCGGGUCUAGUGGCGCACGGGUGCGUAACGCGUGGGAAUCUGCCCCUCGGUUCGGAAUAACAGUUGGAAACGACUGCUAAUACCGGAUGAUGACGUAAGUCCAAAGAUUUAUCGCCGAGGGAUGAGCCCGCGUAGGAUUAGCUAGUUGGUGUGGUAAAAGCGCACCAAGGCGACGAUCCUUAGCUGGUCUGAGAGGAUGAUCAGCCACACUGGGACUGAGACACGGCCCAGACUCCUACGGGAGGCAGCAGUGGGGAAUAUUGGACAAUGGGCGAAAGCCUGAUCCAGCAAUGCCGCGUGAGUGAUGAAGGCCUUAGGGUUGUAAAGCUCUUUUACCCGGGAAGAUAAUG
Molecule: ribosomal RNA, 403 nt
Filed under: Sphingomonas sp.
Lineage: Bacteria; Pseudomonadati; Pseudomonadota; Alphaproteobacteria; Sphingomonadales; Sphingomonadaceae
Description: bacterial SSU rRNA
Rfam family: Bacterial small subunit ribosomal RNA
Source: RNAcentral